This 528-nucleotide ribosomal RNA is filed under the name uncultured Glomeromycotina. RNAcentral describes it as "SSU rRNA". It matches the Rfam family "Eukaryotic small subunit ribosomal RNA", at positions 569 to 1092 of the family's 1831-position model. The record is from RNAcentral. Lineage: Eukaryota; Fungi; Glomeromycota.
AGCAGCCGCGGUAAUUCCAGCUCCAAUAGCGUAUAUUAAAGUUGUUGCAGUUAAAAAGCUCGUAGUUGAAUUUCGGGAUUGACGUGAUGGUCGUGCCUUACGGGGUAUGAACUGUUGCUGUUGAUUUCUCACCUUCUGGAGAAACUUGAUGUCCUUAAUUGGGUGUCUUGCGGAUCCAGGACCUUUACCUUGAAAAAAUUAGAGUGUUUAAAGCAGGCAUUUUGCUCGAAUACAUUAGCAUGGAAUAAUAGAAUAGGACGGCAUGGUUCUAUUUUGUUGGUUUCUAGGAUCACCGUAAUGAUUAAUAGGGAUAGUUGGGGGCAUUAGUAUUCAAUUGUCAGAGGUGAAAUUCUUGGAUUUAUUGAAGACUAACUACUGCGAAAGCAUUUGCCAAGGAUGUUUUCAUUAAUCAAGAACGAAAGUUAGGGGAUCGAAGACGAUCAGAUACCGUCGUAGUCUUAACCAUAAACUAUGCCGACUAGGAAUCAGACGAUGUUAAUUUUUUAAUGACUCGUUUGGCACCUUACG